Molecule: ribosomal RNA, 2814 nt
Filed under: Klebsiella pneumoniae
Lineage: Bacteria; Pseudomonadati; Pseudomonadota; Gammaproteobacteria; Enterobacterales; Enterobacteriaceae
Description: bacterial LSU rRNA
Rfam family: Bacterial large subunit ribosomal RNA
Source: RNAcentral
UUAAGCGACUAAGCGUACACGGUGGAUGCCCUGGCAGUCAGAGGCGAUGAAGGACGUGCUAAUCUGCGAAAAGCGUCGGUAAGGUGAUAUGAACCGUUAUAACCGGCGAUGUCCGAAUGGGGAAACCCAGUGCAAUUCGUUGCACUAUCGUUAACUGAAUACAUAGGUUAACGAGGCGAACCGGGGGAACUGAAACAUCUAAGUACCCCGAGGAAAAGAAAUCAACCGAGAUUCCCCCAGUAGCGGCGAGCGAACGGGGAGCAGCCCAGAGUCUGAAUCAGCUUGUGUGUUAGUGGAACGGUCUGGAAAGUCCGACGGUACAGGGUGAUAGUCCCGUACACCAAAAUGCACAGGUUGUGAACUCGAAGAGUAGGGCGGGACACGUGGUAUCCUGUCUGAAUAUGGGGGGACCAUCCUCCAAGGCUAAAUACUCCUGACUGACCGAUAGUGAACCAGUACCGUGAGGGAAAGGCGAAAAGAACCCCGGCGAGGGGAGUGAAAAAGAACCUGAAACCGUGUACGUACAAGCAGUGGGAGCACCUUCGGGUGUGACUGCGUACCUUUUGUAUAAUGGGUCAGCGACUUAUAUUCUGUAGCAAGGUUAACCGUAUAGGGGAGCCGCAGGGAAACCGAGUCUUAACUGGGCGUUAAGUUGCAGGGUAUAGACCCGAAACCCGGUGAUCUAGCCAUGGGCAGGUUGAAGGUUGGGUAACACUAACUGGAGGACCGAACCGACUAAUGUUGAAAAAUUAGCGGAUGACUUGUGGCUGGGGGUGAAAGGCCAAUCAAACCGGGAGAUAGCUGGUUCUCCCCGAAAGCUAUUUAGGUAGCGCCUCGUGAAUUCAUCUUCGGGGGUAGAGCACUGUUUCGGCUAGGGGGUCAUCCCGACUUACCAACCCGAUGCAAACUACGAAUACCGAAGAAUGUUAUCACGGGAGACACACGGCGGGUGCUAACGUCCGUCGUGAAGAGGGAAACAACCCAGACCGCCAGCUAAGGUCCCAAAGUCAUGGUUAAGUGGGAAACGAUGUGGGAAGGCACAGACAGCCAGGAUGUUGGCUUAGAAGCAGCCAUCAUUUAAAGAAAGCGUAAUAGCUCACUGGUCGAGUCGGCCUGCGCGGAAGAUGUAACGGGGCUAAACCAUGCACCGAAGCUGCGGCAGCGACACUAUGUGUUGUUGGGUAGGGGAGCGUUCUGUAAGCCUGCGAAGGUGUGCUGUGAGGCAUGCUGGAGGUAUCAGAAGUGCGAAUGCUGACAUAAGUAACGAUAAAGCGGGUGAAAAGCCCGCUCGCCGGAAGACCAAGGGUUCCUGUCCAACGUUAAUCGGGGCAGGGUGAGUCGACCCCUAAGGCGAGGCCGAAAGGCGUAGUCGAUGGGAAACAGGUUAAUAUUCCUGUACUUGGUGUUACUGCGAAGGGGGGACGGAGAAGGCUAUGUUAGCCGGGCGACGGUUGUCCCGGUUUAAGCAUGUAGGCUGGUUGUCCAGGCAAAUCCGGAUAAUCAAGGCUGAGGUGUGAUGACGAGGCACUACGGUGCUGAAGUAACAAAUGCCCUGCUUCCAGGAAAAGCCUCUAAGCAUCAGGUAACAUCAAAUCGUACCCCAAACCGACACAGGUGGUCAGGUAGAGAAUACCAAGGCGCUUGAGAGAACUCGGGUGAAGGAACUAGGCAAAAUGGUGCCGUAACUUCGGGAGAAGGCACGCUGGUGUGUAGGUGAAGUCCCUGCGGAUGGAGCUGAGACCAGUCGAAGAUACCAGCUGGCUGCAACUGUUUAUUAAAAACACAGCACUGUGCAAACACGAAAGUGGACGUAUACGGUGUGACGCCUGCCCGGUGCCGGAAGGUUAAUUGAUGGGGUUAUCCGUAAGGAGAAGCUCUUGAUCGAAGCCCCGGUAAACGGCGGCCGUAACUAUAACGGUCCUAAGGUAGCGAAAUUCCUUGUCGGGUAAGUUCCGACCUGCACGAAUGGCGUAAUGAUGGCCAGGCUGUCUCCACCCGAGACUCAGUGAAAUUGAACUCGCUGUGAAGAUGCAGUGUACCCGCGGCAAGACGGAAAGACCCCGUGAACCUUUACUAUAGCUUGACACUGAACAUUGAGCCUUGAUGUGUAGGAUAGGUGGGAGGCUUUGAAGCGUGGACGCCAGUCUGCGUGGAGCCAACCUUGAAAUACCACCCUUUAAUGUUUGAUGUUCUAACGUUGGCCCCUGACCGGGGUUGCGGACAGUGUCUGGUGGGUAGUUUGACUGGGGCGGUCUCCUCCCAAAGCGUAACGGAGGAGCACGAAGGUUAGCUAAUCCUGGUCGGACAUCAGGAGGUUAGUGCAAUGGCAUAAGCUAGCUUGACUGCGAGCGUGACGGCGCGAGCAGGUGCGAAAGCAGGUCAUAGUGAUCCGGUGGUUCUGAAUGGAAGGGCCAUCGCUCAACGGAUAAAAGGUACUCCGGGGAUAACAGGCUGAUACCGCCCAAGAGUUCAUAUCGACGGCGGUGUUUGGCACCUCGAUGUCGGCUCAUCACAUCCUGGGGCUGAAGUAGGUCCCAAGGGUAUGGCUGUUCGCCAUUUAAAGUGGUACGCGAGCUGGGUUUAGAACGUCGUGAGACAGUUCGGUCCCUAUCUGCCGUGGGCGCUGGAGAAUUGAGGGGGGCUGCUCCUAGUACGAGAGGACCGGAGUGGACGCAUCACUGGUGUUCGGGUUGUCAUGCCAAUGGCACUGCCCGGUAGCUAAAUGCGGAAGAGAUAAGUGCUGAAAGCAUCUAAGCACGAAACUUGCCCCGAGAUGAGUUCUCCCUGAGACUUUAAGUCUCCUGAAGGAACGUU